Molecule: ribosomal RNA, 432 nt
Filed under: uncultured bacterium
Lineage: Bacteria
Description: partial 16S ribosomal RNA
Rfam family: Bacterial small subunit ribosomal RNA
Source: RNAcentral
AACGAACGCUGGCGGCAGGCCUAACACAUGCAAGUCGAGCGCGCCCUUCGGGGUGAGCGGCGGACGGGUGAGUAACGCGUGGGAACGUGCCCUUUUCUACGGAAUAGCCUCGGGAAACUGAGAGUAAUACCGUAUACGCCCUUUGGGGGAAAGAUUUAUCGGAAAAGGAUCGGCCCGCGUUGGAUUAGGUAGUUGGUGGGGUAAUGGCCUACCAAGCCGACGAUCCAUAGCUGGUUUGAGAGGAUGAUCAGCCACACUGGGACUGAGACACGGCCCAGACUCCUACGGGAGGCAGCAGUGGGGAAUCUUAGACAAUGGGGGCAACCCUGAUCUAGCCAUGCCGCGUGAGUGAUGAAGGCCUUAGGGUUGUAAAGCUCUUUCAGCUGGGAAGAUAAGGACGGUACCAGCAGAAGAAGCCCCGGCUAACUCCGU